UGCGCAGGCGGUUUUGUAAGACAGAUGUGAAAUCCCCGGGCUUAACCUGGGAACUGCGUUUGUGACUGCAAGACUUGAGUAUGGCAGAGGGGGGUAGAAUUCCACGUGUAGCAGUGAAAUGCGUAGAGAUGUGGAGGAAUACCGAUGGCGAAGGCAGCCCCCUGGGUCAAUACUGACGCUCAUGCACGAAAGCGUGGGGAGCAAACAGGAUUAGAUACCCUGGUAGUCCACGCCCUAAACGAUGCCAACUAGGUGUUGGGGAAGGAGACUUCCUUAGUACCGUAGCUAACGCGUGAAGUUGGCCGCCUGGGGAGUACGGUCGCAAGAUUAAA
This 332-nucleotide ribosomal RNA is filed under the name uncultured bacterium. RNAcentral's name for it is "bacterial SSU rRNA". It matches the Rfam family "Bacterial small subunit ribosomal RNA", at positions 568 to 898 of the family's 1533-position model. The record is from RNAcentral.